GUCUACUUCUGAAUUCAUUAGCUACCUGUCCCAUUUGGUUUCCUAAAUUCUUCAAUGUUGCUACUUGGCUUUGAAUUAGUGCAUCCUUCUUUGUUAUGUACGCCUUCAGCAAAUUCUCAAGAUUACUUGAAGAUUCAGUUCGUGGGGGUUGUUGCACUUGUUGAGAAUAUCCUGGUGGAUAAUUUGGUAGAUAUGGCAUAGAAGAGCCGCUAUGGUCCACCCAUUGAUUACUUUAUGGAGAAAUUGGAUGAUUCUACCAUGAAAAGUUGUAAGAAUUUGAUUGCGC
Molecule: long non-coding RNA, 286 nt
Filed under: Gossypium barbadense (sea-island cotton)
Lineage: Eukaryota; Viridiplantae; Streptophyta; Magnoliopsida; Malvales; Malvaceae
Description: long non-coding RNA (GBAR_LNC020956)
Source: RNAcentral